Long non-coding RNA from Uranotaenia lowii, 688 nucleotides. RefSeq lists it as uncharacterized. The record is from RefSeq and is a predicted model, not a curated record. The transcript has 3 exons. Lineage: Eukaryota; Metazoa; Arthropoda; Insecta; Diptera; Culicidae.
AAAAUCGGUAAUUGAUGAUUUUGACGUCUAUUUUCUAACGAACUUCGUUAAUCGAUUCUUGAACUACCGAAGUUCGUUUAGAAACGUGUAAACAAAUCGGUUUGUCAUCAUUUUUUCGGUAAAAAACGCCGAGUAAACUGUAAAACAAUCCUGCUGUCAUAUGCCGCUGUCAAAACUUACGUCAAACCCCGUCUCACUCUCACAGCCGUGAUUAGUUAAUCGCAUCUCGCUUUCGCUCAAGAAAAGCUAGUCGUCUCGAGUUUUCCCUUGUACGCGAGCGGGAUGUCUUGCAUCAAGCAGCCGUUGAUCAGUUGCGAGCAAAAAAAGCGCAAUGCACGCAAGCGGAAUAGUUUUUUUUUUGUUUUCACGUAGCAGCAUCGGGAGCUUCAUCUUCAUCAUCACCCAUCCCACCAGCAGCAGUAAUCGUAGAUUGGAGCCGUUCAAUGUACAGCUGCUGGUCGGUGAAAUGAUUAAUCCUCAAAAGCAACAACUAGCGUUUCCGGACCAGUACUUAAAUAAGUAGUCAUGGUACCAACAGUUUCAUCAGCAUCAUUUGACGGGUCGCAGAAACACUAUUUUUAUUCAACCGGGUUGCAUAAAUGGAGGAACAAUCCAUCCGACGGACGAAAGCAACCAAGUCUUUGGUCACCCAUCCAUAACAAAAAAAAACCCUUUAAUUCUAUUCUGA